GCUUGAUAGAGAAAAAUAAAUUUAUUCUAGCUUUGUAAAAGGAUAGCUUGAUUCAAACCUGAAUUCAGAUGUAAAAAUAUAUUUAUUUCAGUGAACAUUGUAAAAAAAAGUGCUGCUAGGACCUAGAUAAUAUUCUAGUAGUAAAGGCAUGCAUAACUGAAAAAAAGUGUUAGGAUAAAGGUAGACAAGACUUCUGCAGCUGAACUUACAAUGCCCCUAGGGUGGCAUGAUACACAAGAAAUGUGGAGACAUACAUAUAAGAGCACAACUAGGGACUGAUGUUAAAUCAGGUGAGAUUCAUUUGGAGCAAAGUCAGAAAGCACUGAAAGAGUCUGGUAGUCUGGGAUCUCCAGUGCUGCAGAGGUAAAGGAAAGCACUGUAACUAGAACAGAACUGUAGGUCUGACCCCAGUGGCAACUCUUGUUGCAAAUUUUUAUUCAUAGUGAAUCAGAGCUAGACACAGAAUUGAAACCUAGGAUAUAGGACUGUUUCUUUAUGAAUUAGAACUCUCAGAAAUUUGAUUUGUUGCUGGAUGUAGAGUGGAAAAGAGGAAUAAGUGGGAAGUGUGCACUGUGUUAUCAUAAGCUAAUGCUUUUUCUCCUAAAUGUUUUCGUCAACUAAUCUUCUUUAUCACUGUAUUUAUAUUUCAGAAUUAAUUGAUACCAGUAGAGAGUACUCAGAAAAGAAGUUCAGUGGGUUUAACAGAGGUGAAAAAUGGCACUGUGAUGAUAAGCAUGAAGGAAUUCAUUCUGAAGAGAAAUCUUGUAGGUAUAAUAAAAGUGAAAACAGCUUCUGUGUUAUGAAGACCUUGUUCAGCACCAGAAAAUUCAAAUUUGGAGUAACCAUUUGAAUACAAUGAAUGUCAGAAAGCUUUCCAUGAGAAUUAACUCUUCCUUAUGCAUAAGAGAGGUUACACAAGACAGAAAACUUGUGAAUGUACUGAAUAUAAGAAAAUCUUUUGUGACAUGUUGUCUCUUACUGCUCAUGGAGAUGUCCAAAAAAUAAUGCCUAUGAAUUUAAUGAAAGUAGAGAAAAUUGUCUUGAGCAAUCCAUUCUCUUUGAACACUGAACUGCUUAUCCCAUCAGCCAGAAGACAAAACUCAGUCCAAUUCAGAGAAGACACUCAAUGGACAGUAUAAUUGAAUAUAAUUAAUAUGGAAUGUUUUUCAGUGAAAAGUCAGUCCUUGCUGUACAAUAGAGGACAAACACAGGAGACCAGCCCUAUCAAUGUCAUGAAUGUGGAAAAACCUUCAACCAGAAGUUAGCCCACACAAGGCAUCAAAGAACACACAGAGAGGGGAAAUCUAUGAAUGUCAUGAAUGUGGGGAAAUCUACAAGAUUUCUGACGUUAUUAAACACCAGAGAAUUCACACAGGGGAGAAACUUUGUGGAUGUCAUGAAUGUGGUAAAUCCUUCAGUGAGAAGUCAACCCUCACUCAACAUCAGAGAAUACACACAGGGGAGAAACUAUAUGAGUGUCAAGAAUGUGGGAAAGCCUUAUCAUUUAAGUCAGUCUUUACUAUAUAUCAGAAAACUCACAAAAGUGAAAAGCCGAAUGCUGUGAUUGUGGGAAAGCCUUUCUCAGAAUGUCUGACCUAAUUAAACAUCAAAGAACUCACACUGGGGAAAAGCCUUAUGAAAGUAAUGAAUGUGGGAAAUACUUCUCUGAGAAAUCAACUCUUACUAAAUAUCUAAGAAUUCACACAGGUAAGAAACCCUAUGAAUAUACUGAACGUGGAAAACUUUUCUGCUACUACUCAGGUUUCACAGAACAUCAGAGAAGACAUACAAGGGAGAAACCUUUUGGAUAUAAUGAAUGUGGGAAACCUUCCAUCAGAAGUCAGCUUUAAUUGCUCAUCAGAGAACUCACAUAGGACAGAAACCCUAUAUUUAGUAGAAACCCUAUAUUUGUAACGAAUGUGGAAAAUCAUUCUGUGUGAAGUCAGAACUCAUUGCACAUCAUAGAAUACAUACAGGGGAGAAACCCUAUGAAUGUAGUGUUUGUGGGAAGUCAUUCUAUGUUAAGUUAAAACUCACUGUACAUAAGAGAACACACUUGGGGAGAGACCCUCUAAAUGUAGUAAUUGAGGGAAAACACUCUCAGAAAACAUGUAUUAGUAUAAUGGAUAUUGAGAACAUCUUUGGCCUAAUGUCACUUCUCAAAAUAUAGAACACUUAGGAGAAAACAAAAUGAUGAUCUUGAGUAUUUAAAGAUUUUCUGCCAGAAUUUGGACCAUGCAUAAUAUAUUUUUAAAAAGCUCAGUCUUAUAAACCUAUUGAUGAGUAAACAAAAAUCUUUUGCAAAGCAUCACCUCUUGAGAUAUUUUCUUAAGGAAAGAGACCUUGGUUAACAUCCCUAAGGUAGAGAAGACAUCAUUCCCAGGCCAGAAAAAAUGCACAAACUAUAGGAAAACAUUUAUUAUUAGAUGACAUUUUAUUGGACAUAUGGAUUAAGAGGGAGCUCUGGGAACAUUAGCUAGUAAAUGCUAGAGAAAAUGUAUGGAAGCUUUAAGUCAAAAUCCAAAUUUAUUAUUCAUCAGAGAUGUUGAAUUGGAGGGUAUAGUAUUAUAGAAAAUGUGAAGAAGUUUUUCAUUUAAUAAUAGAAUUUUACAAUGUUAA
Molecule: non-coding RNA, 2619 nt
Organism: Castor canadensis (American beaver)
Lineage: Eukaryota; Metazoa; Chordata; Mammalia; Rodentia; Castoridae
Source: RefSeq, a predicted model, not a curated record